Molecule: non-coding RNA, 23 nt
Filed under: Cricetulus griseus (Chinese hamster)
Lineage: Eukaryota; Metazoa; Chordata; Mammalia; Rodentia; Cricetidae
Source: RNAcentral
GAGUUGGAAUAGGAGCUUGCUCC